This 441-nucleotide ribosomal RNA is filed under the name uncultured bacterium. RNAcentral's name for it is "bacterial SSU rRNA". It matches the Rfam family "Bacterial small subunit ribosomal RNA", at positions 338 to 795 of the family's 1533-position model. The record is from RNAcentral.
CCUANGGGUGGCUGCAGUCAAGAAUAUUCCUCAAUGGGCGAAAGCCUGAAGGAGCGACGCCGCGUGACUGAUGAAGUUCUUCGGAAUGUAAAGGUCUUUUUUCAGGGACGAACACUGACGGUACCUGAAGAAUAAGGGGUUGCUAACUCUGUGCCAGCAGCAGCGGUAAUACAGAGACCCCGAGCGCUAUCCGGAUUGAUUGGGCGUAAAGAGUGCGUAGGCGGUCGGACAAGUCCGUGGUUAAAUUCAGAGGCUCAACUUCUGAACUGCUAUGGAAACUUUCUGACUAGAGUGCGGAAGAGGUGAGCGGAAUUGCCGGUGUAACGGUAAAAUGUGUUAAUAUCGGCAAGAACACCAGAGGCGAAGGCGGCUCACUAGGACGCAACUGACGCUGUUGCACGAAAGCGUGGGGAGCGAAUGGGAUUAGAUAACCCGNUANUC